CCCAGGAACCCUUUGUGACUUAUACCUUACUGUUGCCUCGGCGCAGGCCGGCCCCUCCCGCGGGGCCCCUCCGGAAGGAGGAGCAGCCCGCCGGCGGCCAACUAAACUCUUGUUUCUUAGUGAAUCUCUGAGUAAAAAACAUAAAUGAAUCAAAACUUUCAACAACGGAUCUCUUGGUUCUGGCAUCGAUGAAGAACGCAGCGAAAUGCGAUAAGUAAUGUGAAUUGCAGAAUUCAGUGAAUCAUCGAAUCUUUGAACGCACAUUGCGCCCUCUGGUAUUCCGGAGGGCAUGCCUGUUCGAGCGUCAUUUCAACCCUCAAGCACUGCUUGGUGUUGGGGCACCGCCUGUGAAAGGGCGGGCCCUGAAAACUAGUGGCGAGCUCGCCAGGACCCCGAGCGUAGUAGUUUAUAUCUCGUUCUGGAAGGCCCUGGCGGUGCACUGCCGUUAAACCCCCAACUUCUGAAAUUUUGACCUCGGAUCAGGUAGGAAUACCCGCUGAACUUAAGCAUAUCAAUAAAGGCGGAGGAA
Molecule: ribosomal RNA, 529 nt
Filed under: fungal sp. SNB-LAP1-7-58
Lineage: Eukaryota; Fungi
Description: eukaryotic LSU rRNA
Rfam family: 5.8S ribosomal RNA (bases 154-307)
Source: RNAcentral